Molecule: long non-coding RNA, 1075 nt
Organism: Phasianus colchicus (ring-necked pheasant)
Lineage: Eukaryota; Metazoa; Chordata; Aves; Galliformes; Phasianidae
Source: RefSeq, a predicted model, not a curated record
UGUACAAACACCAAAUGGAAAAUGUAUGUGUAUAAAAUUUCUGUAAAAGUUGUAGCAGAAUUGCAAAGUCACGGCUUGAAGCAGUGAUUGAGCACCUGGUGGGAAGGCAGUGCUAGCCCAAGGGAGAUCAGCUGUAUGCAGUACACCUGAGUGACCGGAAAGGUUGCAGCCAGGAUCCACCCCUUCCACCCUCAUUUAAGGGUUGGCUGUGGAAGUAAGGGUAUCUCACUUGUGAUCUCUGUUUACUUGAGGUAUUCUCAUGGUAAGUGACAAAAUGGAAUGGAAUAUCAGUGGGAAGGCUCAACCUCUACUGCCACACCAUCAAUAUUCACCUCUCACUUUAAGGGCCAUCAUAAUAAAAUAGGAGGCGUUACUUUCAGAGCAGCCCUUGGUAGCUGGAGGAGAGCUCAUGUUGCUUUCAUGCAAGGGGAUGUUUGACUUUUUCUGGUCUUGCAGUACUUCAGCUGUCCUCAACAGUUUCUCACGAUUACUGAAAAAUGUCUGAGACUACCUAAGACAGUGGUGUGUGCAGGAUGAAGUUCAACUAGCUUAACCAGCCACCUGGUUGCAAUGAACCAUUUAGUGAAGACAUAUGAAGGGAAAAACUAACAAAUCAAGCCUCAAGCCUCAGCAUCAUUUGUUAAUUUCAUUCCCUCAGUACUGAGCAGGGAAGAAACCUUUUCCUUCCUCUUCCAUCACUUGCUAAUACAAUUACACAAUAACUUGUAUCUUUUAAGCUCCCUGCUACUUCUAUUUCACAUUAUGCUUUGGCCUUUCUGAUUUUUGUCCUUGUAUUUUUUUUGUGAUAGUCCAUAGCAAGCUGACCACAUUUGUGUGUGUUCCUCUGUGUUCAUGGAUGGCAUCCAUAUCUUAGCCAACUGGAUACACAUGUAUGUACAGGAGAUAUGGUUGAGGUGUUUAUUUAUUAAUUUGAAAAGGGUUGUUCUUAAGCUUUCCUAUUUUAAAAUACUUAAUUAUCAGGUUUUUUUACUUUCUUUGUAUUCAAGUUCUGAAUAAAGUGGGAGGGCACAGGAGGAAGAAGAAAUGUCUUUCUUGUUUGCAUAUUACCCACAAU